Molecule: long non-coding RNA, 1015 nt
Organism: Brassica napus (rape)
Lineage: Eukaryota; Viridiplantae; Streptophyta; Magnoliopsida; Brassicales; Brassicaceae
Exons: 2
Source: RefSeq, a predicted model, not a curated record
UCUUACAUUUCUUAAAAAAAUAGGUUACUUCAUCUAAAUAUAUAUUAUAUUUUUCAAUAACUUAGCCAUAACAUCAAUUAUUAACAUAUAUAAAGUAUUUUUUCUUUUUUUUAUUCCUUAGACAAACUUACUUUGAUAAAUUUGUCAUGUCUUGGCCAUAAACUUAUUAAAUUUUGACAGAUUUAGUGAUGAUUCCACAAAUUUAAUUUCUUUGGCCACAAAUUUAUUUAAUUUUGAUAGAGUUAUGUAGCAUCGAUAGAUUUAAUUUUAUAUAGCCACAAAUUUACUUCAAUUUGAUAGAUUUACUUAAGAUUCGAUAGAUUUAUUUUUAUUUUGGCAACAAGUUUACUUUAUUUUGACACAUUUAAUUAAAACCUGAUAGAUUUAUUUUUAUUUUGGCCACAAAUUUACUUUAUUCUAAUAGAAUUAAUUUGAAUCUGAUAGAUUUGUUUUUUCUUUAGUGACUAAUUUAUUUAAUUUUGAAAAAUAAUAAUUUGGAUUCGAUAGACUUUUAUUUGUUAUUCUGACAAAAAAAUUACUAUAUUUAAUCAAAUUUGAAUGGUUAUACAAAAUUGUAACAAACAGUUUAAAUCCAAAAAUAGUAAUUUUAACCAUAACCAUCCAAACAGUACACGAGUUGUUAAAUAAAACAGUAACAACCCAGUUAACUUUUGUAAAAAUCGAAACCAUUUUUGCUUCAUUUCUUAGUGUGUUCACUACUUCAGCUACAUGUAAGAAAAGAUUACCCAACGCCUCCACUCAAAGAAAUUAGACUCAGCAAAUGCAUAAUAAUGUGUCCUUUUUUAUGUAAGAUGGCUGAUGUACUUCUGGGGCAGAGCGAAGUUACACGGUCUGGAAGAAGAACGUCUCCUUCUAUGGAUCAGCCGUAGCAGCGGGAAAUCUACGACUUCUCACGAUUCCUUAGAUGUGGAAAGAGGAUUGAUAGAGCUAAGGAAACUGGGGACAGAGCAACAGCUAUGGGAAGCUUCUCGGAGAGAAAUUGAUCAGCUUCCAU